UGAGAGGAAGAGAAAGACCUAGAAAGAGAGAAAGUAAAAAGGAAAAUGAGAAAUAUAGAAUAAGAAAAAAAUGGAAGAGAAUGAAAAAAACAGUGGCGUAGUUAGGAAGUUUCCAUUGUUUCGGGGCCUGGGGGGCUUGACUUGUUUGGGGGCCCCUGCAUUUUGCGUGAUAUUUAUUUUUUUAAGUAAAAAAAAAAAACACUUCUUUUGGGCGUCUCUCAAGUGGGGGCCGGGUAGAUUUGAAAUUCUCCCCCCCCCCUUCUCCCCCCCACCCUAGCUACGCCACUGGAAAAAAAUAUAAAGAAAGAAAGAGUGCCAUACAGUGACAACUAUGAGUGACAACUAUGAGUGACAUGUAGUGACAGAAAAACAAUGAAAGUUGCAAGAAAGAAGAUAAGAGAGUCCCUAAUCUUUAAAUCUAUUUUAUUCUCCCUGUCUAUUUUUCUACUUUUUUUUUGGUGGGGGCGGGUAAAUCUCAAUAACCCUGGAAGACCCAGUGGGUCACGGGUGACCCAUAACCGAAAAAUACGUUUAAGUAAAUGUCUACUUCAUUUGUUAUGUAAUUUUUACCAUGAAUACCCAGUGGCCCAUCUAUGGAACACAAGGGAAACAAUUAUUAUGUUACAGUUUUCUUAUUACUGAAUGAUAUCCCCUUUUGCAUAUGGCUACCUCCAUGCGAAGUUGGAAUCUCAGUAUACGACCGAAUUAAAUUAUUUUUUUACUGCUUUAUACAAGAAUAAUGUCAGCUUCAUUCCCUAAGAAAUUCACUGCUCAAGAAGUGCUAGAUAUUUUAGAAUUAAUUGACUACAAUGAUUCAACUGAUGAUGAGGACUAUGAGCAAGAACCUGAUAAGGAAACAGAACGCAAGACCUCAAUUCUUCCGAAUCAUCUUCUGAUUUAGAAGAGACAGAACCCUUGCCAUUUACUUAUAGUGCCUCUUUAAAAUUAAAAUAAGAUGGCAGGAUGGCUGCCUGGUCUUGCGGUUUGCGUGCUGGACUGUCGUUCGGAUUUAUUGACUGUCGAGGGUUCAAACCCUGCCCGCUCCCAUCCCCCGUCGUCCUGCGGGAGGUUUGGACUAGGAAGUAAACUAUCUUCAACUCUGAAGGAACAUCUGAAUUAUGUAAAACAUUUUAAAACAUUUUUACAAUAACCAAUGUGGGAGUGCUAAGAAGAGCAGGGCGCCAGGACAUCUACUUUGUUAUCAGGAGCUAACGCCUUGGCAGGCUUGGCCACGUUCAUAGAAUGCCAGUAGGUUGACUUCUACAAGACAUUCUGUAUGGCGAUCUAACAGAAGGCAAGAGAGCCACUGGUCGUCCACUCUUGCAGUAUACCGAUGUGUGCAAACACAACAUAAAGCUCAUCAAAAUGGACACUAGCAGCAGCGUAUCAGUUAUUGGCCUCUUUAGUCAUACAAGAAGUUGCCAAGGGAAAAGAUUGUCUCUCGAGACAUAAAAUGCCACAGAUACCUAUGAGUAUAGUGUUUAAAAAAGUGGAGGAAAUAUCGACAUCAAUAAAAUAAAAAAAUAUUAUUUUCUAACAUUU
Molecule: long non-coding RNA, 1542 nt
Organism: Biomphalaria glabrata
Lineage: Eukaryota; Metazoa; Mollusca; Gastropoda; Planorbidae
Exons: 2
Source: RefSeq, a predicted model, not a curated record